Small nuclear RNA from Loxodonta africana (African savanna elephant), 107 nucleotides. The record is from Ensembl. Lineage: Eukaryota; Metazoa; Chordata; Mammalia; Proboscidea; Elephantidae.
AUGCUCACUUCAGCAGCACGUAUACUAAAAUUGGAACGAUACAGAAAAGAUUAGCACGGCCCUUGCGCAAGGACAACACACAAAUUCAUGAAGUGUUCUCCUUAUUU